CAGCCGCCGCGGUAAUACGUAGGGUGCGAGCGUUAAUCGGAAUUACUGGGCGUAAAGCGUGCGCAGGCGGUUUUGUAAGACAGGCGUGAAAUCCCCGGGCUCAACCUGGGAACGGCGCUUGUGACUGCAAAGCUAGAGUGCGGCAGAGGGGGAUGGAAUUCCGCGUGUAGCAGUGAAAUGCGUAGAUAUGCGGAGGAACACCGAUGGCGAAGGCAAUCCCCUGGGCCUGCACUGACGCUCAUGCACGAAAGCGUGGGGAGCAAACAGGAUUAGAUACCCCAGUAGUCCCUGUCUCUUAUAC
This 301-nucleotide ribosomal RNA is filed under the name uncultured bacterium. Its description in RNAcentral is "partial 16S ribosomal RNA". It matches the Rfam family "Bacterial small subunit ribosomal RNA", at positions 509 to 807 of the family's 1533-position model. The record is from RNAcentral.